RNAcentral lists this long non-coding RNA (5860 nucleotides) under Homo sapiens (human). RNAcentral describes it as "HSALNT0302061". Lineage: Eukaryota; Metazoa; Chordata; Mammalia; Primates; Hominidae. The record is from RNAcentral.
CUCAGACCCGGUGUGCUGUUACCAGAGCCUUCUAGAGGAAGUGUUCUCCGAGCUGAGGGCGGCUCUUUGAUUCUCCAGGCCACAAACCCCCGCAGCCCGGCCUGGCCAGAGGCGUGCCUGUGCAUCCCGGCAAGUGAGCGCCCAGGGACUCUCGGCCAGAGAGGCUGUGAGGGUGGCUUUGUGAGGAUGGCUUUGUGUGGCUGCACAUUGCCCUUGGCCAAGCCCCGCUGCCAGGAGAGGCAGCUCGGCUGCCAAACCUCCUGAACCCAAGUUACCUGAGCAAGCAGCCCUAUCCCCUCGCCUGCUUCUCACUGCCUCGCCUGCCUUGGGCCUGCCCGACCCAGGGGGUCACAUGCCUUGUUCCCCAUCAGUGGAGACCAGGGACAAGAAGACAGUUCUGUGGGAAGAGCCAGGAGGACCAUUUGGGAAAAUACAGGUUCCAGGUGUGUCUCCAGACCUUGAGAGUUGGUGUCUCCUGGGAAGAGGCCCUGAUGAGAUCUGGGGAGAUUCGGAUCUGAUGAGAUUCAGGAAGCCCUGGCCUCUCCGUACUUGAGGAGACGGGACACACAGGACAAGCUGCAGGCUGGUGAGCAGGUUCACCUUCUAUUUUGAAGACCCGCUUCUUCCUCAGGUACCUGAUCUUGAAAACGACCUCCCCUUUCAGUUCUGGAGGCCAGAAGCCCAAAAUCAGUCUCGCUGGGCUAACGUGAAGGUGUCAGUCGGGCUGGUUCCUUCUGGAGGCUCCAGAAAAGAAUCUGUUUUCUUGCCUUUUCUGGCUCAGUUUCUCGGCUUGUGGCUCCUUCCUCCAUCUUCAAAGAGCACCACUCCAAUCUGCUCCUCCAUCAGGUCACCUUCUGCCUGACUCCUACAUCCCUUUCAGAAGGACCCUUGUGAUUCCAUGAGGUCCACCCAGAUCACGCAGGAUAAUGUCCCCGUCUCAAGAGGCUUAAUCUAAUCACAGGUGAAAGCCCUAUACGAGGUGUCAUGGACAGAUUCUGGGCCUAAAGACAUGAACAUCUGUGGGGGCAUCACUCAGACUUCCACGGGUGACAAGGGCCCCAUGGUGGGAGGGGAGAAGAGGAGGAAACGGGAGAGUGAGGAUUCACCAGGAGACUGGCCCGAGAAAGGAGACACGGAUUGGACAGGCUCAGCCAGUGGAAGACCGUCCUGCCUGGAGGGAAGUGGCUUUUAGGAGUUUUUUCCUGAGCCUGUUGUGUCUCCUUCCCUCCUUUCUCCCCCAAAUCCAACUAGAAAACUAGAAACAUAAUCUGUUGUGUUGACUCCAUAGGUCUUGCUUCCCCUCAACCCAGACACCGACUCGCCCAAGGGUCUUCCAGCUGGCUGAGUUGGAACCUGCAUUUUUUAACCACAAGGAAAAGAAGCCCAGAGCUACCAAGAAUAAUAUUUUAUUGACUUGGAAUGAGUUUUGGAAUCUGUAUUUUUAACAAGCUGCCCAGUGAAAACCAUUUCCUCCUCGUCGUGGCGCAGGUCCAGAGGCUGCGCCCAUCUCUCCCACGUCAACAGUCCUGUGUCCUUGGCGAAGGACUGUUCUCUCAUUCAGUGCCUUUCCUCUCUUCCUGGGCCAAAUCCCUGCUUUGCGUCUCCCUGCAGCUCAUAAAAAGCUGAAUUACCUGAGGCAGGGAAAGCCCCACCCACUGUCAUUCUCAGGGAGGAGUGGAGUCUGCAGAGGCCGCAAUGCACAGCUUCCCUAUCCCCCUCCACCCGUGUUUUCCCAGAGCAGCUCUGUUCCAGGCCCGGGGGUGUCCCUGGGCCGAGAUGGAAUCCAGCCCUGACCACCUCCCAAAGCCAACAGCCCUGAGUGAGCGUGCAGAGAAGCAAGAGCUGUUCCUGAUGCAGAGCAAAGACAUCUCCCAGUCAAGGGGGAUGAACUGAUUUGGGACAAAAGGCAGUUGUUGGCUGAGGAAGGCAGGAUCUGGGGGAGCCCUGUGCUGAGUGGAGGUGGGUGGGUGUAUUUCCUUGGCUCACAGAGGCCUCUUGUCUGGUGGGAUCAGCUCCUCCAGCCAGUUGCCACCUGGUCCAGCUUUGGGAGAUGUGGAGAAUGACUUUCGCAGUGAUUUCCACUGGGCCAUGGCAUUGAAACAGCUGCAGGAGGGGACACAGCUGGUGCCACCCCUACUCCGUCCAUUAGAGCUGCUGUGAAGGAAUGCCACCCUCCCCAUGGGGAGUGAGGGGGCCCUACUUGCUGUGGUUGGUUCCAGGGACCAUGGGAAGAGGCAAACCCCUAUUUUCAAGGGCACAAGUUGGCUUUUAUUAAAAUAAAAUUUCAUCAUCACUUAUUCCAGUGGCUCCCAAACUUGGCUAAACAUCAGGAUCACCCAGGAUGUUUGUUAAAAAAUAAAGAUUAUGGCCGGGUGCAGUGGCUCACGCCUGUAAUCCUAGCACUUUGGGAGGCCCAGGCGGGCAGAUCACUUGAGGUCAAGAAUUCGAGACCAGCCUGGCCAACAUGGGGAAAUGCUGUCUCUACUAAAAAUACAAAAAUUAGCUGGGUGUGGUGGUGCAUACCUGUAACCCCAGCUACUCGGAGGCAGAGGCAGGAGAAUUGCUUGAACUUGGGAGGCAAAGGUGGCAGUGAGUCGAGAUAGCGCCACUGCACUGCACUCCAGCCUGGGUGACAGUGCGAGACUCUUGUCUCAAAAAAAAAAAAAAAAAGAUUAAUAAAAAUAAAGAGUUUUAGAACUCAUCCUAGACGGAAUCAAUCAGAAUCUCUUUGGGUAGGCUUGGGCUGGAAUCAGUGCGAAAUCUGACUAAUCAGAUUGCUUUCCUGAUUCCAGACGGUUGAGCCCAUAGAACAGGAGUGAGAAGAUGGAAGGGCGAGGGGGCUGGGAUGAUGAAAACUUGCGCCUGCAGCCACCAUUCAUUACAGAGCGCCGGGGGCCAGCUGCAGAACUGUAGACUCCUCAUACAUCAUCGUGUUGAGUCUUCAAAACAAACCUAUGAGGCUGGAGUGCAGCAGCGCGAUCUCGGCUCACUGCAACUUCCACCUCCUGGUUUCAAGCAAUUCUCCCGCCUCAGCCUCCCGAGUAGCUGGGAUUACAAGCACCCGCCACCAUGCCCGGCUAAUUUUUAUAUUUUUAGCAGAGGCGGGAUUUCUCCAUGUAGCCCAGGCCGGUCUCGAACUCCUGACCUCAAGUGAUCCACCCACCUCAGCCUCCCAAAGUGCUGGGAUUACAGGUGUGAGCCACCAUGCCCCGCCAGCCAUCAGAGUUUUAUAGCAAGAAUUUUUACCUUUGUCCUUAGUGCAAUGGGAAAUCCUUGAAACGCUAUUAUUGCCUUCCUCUGCAAGGAAAGGUUAUUUUGGUGAGCAGUGGAUAGAGGAAAUGCAGAGGGAGCCACUAAAGGGUUCUGGUGAGAUCUGGAGCCCUGCUGGGAUAAUCUGACCAGAGAAAGCAAAGAUUCCAGAGAGCUAGGCACACUUGCCCUACCUCCAGCUGCACACAGCUGGUUCCAGCUUUGUCCUGACCUUCAGUCUGGCAUACAGGGUAGACCCACUGGUACCUGGUACCUCACUCUGGGGGUGAGGUGGCCACCCACCUAGGUCUGGGUCCUGUAGCAGUUUGGCAGCAACAUCUGGGUGAUAAGAGAAGGCGAUUUGACCUACUCCCAGGGACAAGAAGCUUUGACUCUUCAAGAUCAUAAAGUCUUCCCUCCUGGCCUUGGGUCCUCCUGUUGCGGGAGAGAGGACAAAAUCCGUUCCUCACCUGGACACAAUGAACCUGUCUGUGGGAUUUAGGGAGCAUCAAGGAGGGAAUUUAGUUUCCGCAGACUUCAAGGAAGACUUUCUGGAGGAGGUGAUGCCUGAGAGCUAUCCAGGAGAGAAGAGUGAAAAAAUGUUAAGCAGUGGAAAAACAUGAACCAAACUGUGGCUGCAUCUUCCCAUAGGGCAACAGGGACUUAGCGCGUGCAAUCAAGGAUCUCCAGAUGGGGAUAACCCAGGUGUGCCCAACCUAAUCUCAGUGUCCUUGGAAGAGGGAUGCAGAAGGAGUCAGAAUCAGAGAAGAAGGUGACACGAUGAAGGAAUCCGAAAUUAGAGUGAUGCUCUUUGAAGAUGGAGGAAGGGACCACAAGCUGAGAAAUAGAGGUGGCCACUAGACACUGAAAAAGGCAAGGAAGUGGAUUCUCCCCUGGAGCCUCCAGAAGGAACCAGCUCUGCCGACACCUUGACAUUAGCCCAUUGAGACUGAUUUAAGGGCUGCUGGCCUCCAGAAUUGUAAGAGAAUAAACGUGUGUUGUUUAAGGCCCUUGGUUAGUAGCGAUUUGCUACAGCAGCUGCAGAAACCUAAUAAGUAUAGGUUCCACCUAGAGACGCAGAACUAGCCAGCGGCCGAUCCUGCUCCGGGACCCUGCAGGCCCCAGCUCUAUGGAAUCCUGUCGCACACGGGAUGGACGUGGGCUAGAGGCGGAGGAAGGGGAGGAAGUGAAGAUCUUCAGACUAAGAUGGAUGAAGCUGAAUUCAGAUCUCAGCUCCAAGGUGAAUGAGCAAACAGCACAGAAAAAGAAACAGCAGUAUAUGUGGAAGAAAGCAAGAAAAAUCAACUGGCCUGGAACCUAAGACUUGUCCAAAGAUGUCACAGAGAGUAAAAUGAGAAAAAUCCAGUAGCCCGUGCCCAGAGCAGUUCCUCGUACCCAGCAGAAGGCUAACAAGCCCUGAGAUGAAUGAUGCUCUUCCCAAGGAAGGCAGAGGAGGCGACAGUCCAUUUGCGUUCUCUCCUCUGCAAGUACAGGAUCUCGUUUGAUUCUCAAAACCACCCUAGAGGAGACAGGAGGCACCUGAGGCCCAGAGACGUGAAGCCACCUGUCCAAGGCCAUACAGCAGAUAACUUAUUCUGGAGGAAGACACCUGCCAUGCCGUGAGGACAGUCAAGCAGUUCUGUGGAGAGAUCCAUGUGGUGAGAAACAGGGGCCUCCUGUCAACAGGAAGAACAACCUGGCAGGCCUGUCUUGGAUUCAGAGCCUCCAGCCCCAGUCGAGCCUUCAGAUAACUGCACCCUUGGCUGUCAUCUCAACUGCAAUCUCACGACAGACCCUGAGCUGGAACUACUCUGUUUACCAAUGCCUGGCCCACAGAAAGACUAUGAGAUAAAACAAGUAUAUUGUUUUUAGAAGAUAUGUUUUGGAGUAAUUUAUUAUGCUACAAUAGAUAAUACAGAAUUUGGUGAUUUUAUGAUUCUCAACUCCUGGCCAAAGCAAAGCACACAACAAGUCUCAAAGAAAAGUCUCACAAGUGGAAUUGAAAGUACAAAGCUGGCCAGACAAGCUUGUGCAGACAUGUAUGUGGUGGAGUUGAAAAUCACACACUACGACUCACACAAGUGAGUAAAACCUGCGUCUUUCUUAAUUUUUCUUGUACUCUUCUCAUCUAGAUCUAAUGAGAUACUUCCUGCUGUUGACAGGCAAUAAAUGAAUGAACGACAAAAACAAAACAAAAAGAAAAGAAACAAAACAGAAAGAAAAGAAACAAAACAGAAAGAAAAGAAAGAAACAAAACAGAAAGAAAGAAAAGAAAUCUUUAACUUGCCCACUACAGGUUUCUCUAUUUCUGCAUGUUCAAGCAAAUCUCCUUUCAGCAAAAUACUCAUCGUUUUCUCCCUAUUCCCUCUUCUGCUAGCCAGAUGUCUCUCUUCCUGGUGCAGGGAGACAUUUACAGACCUCAUGGUGGUGGGAAGAGGAGUUCAAGAUGAGAAACCCGAGGCUCAGAGAGGCCCUGUAAUUUGCUCAAGAACAAGAAACCACUACAUCUGAGAUCUUAUCCUUCUGACCCCUCGAUCCGGGUCUUUGCACAGGCAUGGCACCACUCUUGAGUACCCAAGUUAAAAUUCCAGCUCUAUCCUUUAGGAAUUUG